GGUUCCCAGAUCCACAUAAAGUGGUCUUACAUAUUCCUGUAAGACCAGCACUGAGGAGGUAGAGGCAGGAGGAU
RNAcentral lists this microRNA precursor (74 nucleotides) under Nannospalax galili (Upper Galilee mountains blind mole rat). RNAcentral describes it as "miRNA (ENSNGAG00000007149.1)". The record is from RNAcentral. Lineage: Eukaryota; Metazoa; Chordata; Mammalia; Rodentia; Spalacidae.